CCUACGUGAGGCAGCAGUGGGGAAUAUUGGACAAUGGGCGAAAGCCUGAUCCAGCCAUGCCGCGUGUGUGCAGAAGGCCUUCGGGUUGUAAAGCACUUUCAGUGGGGAAGAAAGCCUUGGGGCUAAUACCCUCGAGGAAGGACAUCACCCACAGAAGAAGCACCGGCUAACUCCGUGCCAGCAGCCGCGGUAAUACGGAGGGUGCGAGCGUUAAUCGGAAUUACUGGGCGUAAAGCGCGCGUAGGCGGUCUGAUAAGCCGGUUGUGAAAGCCCCGGGCUCAACCUGGGAACGGCAUCCGGAACUGUCAGGCUAGAGUGCAGGAGAGGAAGGUAGAAUUCCCGGUGUAGCGGUGAAAUGCGUAGAGAUCGGGAGGAAUACCAGUGGCGAAGGCGGCCUUCUGGACUGACACUGACGCUGAGGUGCGAAAGCGUGGGUAGCAAACAGGAUUAGAUACCCUUGUAGUC
RNAcentral lists this ribosomal RNA (465 nucleotides) under Vreelandella stevensii. RNAcentral's name for it is "partial 16S ribosomal RNA". It matches the Rfam family "Bacterial small subunit ribosomal RNA", at positions 338 to 795 of the family's 1533-position model. The record is from RNAcentral. Lineage: Bacteria; Pseudomonadati; Pseudomonadota; Gammaproteobacteria; Oceanospirillales; Halomonadaceae.